GGUCGUGGCUCAGUGGCAGAGUGCUUGCCUAGCAUGGAUGAGGCACUGGGUUCAAUCCUCAGCACCA
RNAcentral lists this transfer RNA (67 nucleotides) under Marmota monax (woodchuck). RNAcentral's name for it is "tRNA.Ala". Lineage: Eukaryota; Metazoa; Chordata; Mammalia; Rodentia; Sciuridae. The record is from RNAcentral.